This 230-nucleotide ribosomal RNA is filed under the name uncultured bacterium. Its description in RNAcentral is "partial 16S ribosomal RNA". It matches the Rfam family "Bacterial small subunit ribosomal RNA", at positions 562 to 791 of the family's 1533-position model. The record is from RNAcentral.
AAAGCGUGCGCAGGCGGUUUUGUAAGUUUGUCGUGAAAUCCCCUGGCUCAACCUGGGAAUGGCGAUGAAGACUGCAAGGCUAGAGUUUGGCAGAGGGGGGUAGAAUUCCACGUGUAGCAGUGAAAUGCGUAGAUAUGUGGAGGAACACCGAUGGCGAAGGCAGCCCCCUGGGUCAAAACUGACGCUCAUGCACGAAAGCGUGGGGAGCAAACAGGAUUAGAUACCCCAGU